CCCUAGUAACUGCGAGUGAAGCGGGAAAAGCUCAAAUUUAAAAUCUGGCGGUCUUUGGCCGUCCGAGUUGUAGUCUGGAGAAGUGCUUUCCGCGCUGGACCGUGUAUAAGUCUCUUGGAACAGAGCGUCAUAGAGGGUGAGAAUCCCGUCUUUGACACGGACUACCAGUGCUUUGUGAUGCGCUCUCAAAGAGUCGAGUUGUUUGGGAAUGCAGCUCAAAAUGGGUGGUGAAUUCCAUCUAAAGCUAAAUAUUGGCGAGAGACCGAUAGCGAACAAGUACCGUGAGGGAAAGAUGAAAAGCACUUUGGAAAGAGAGUUAAACAGUACGUGAAAUUGCUGAAAGGGAAACGCUUGAAGUCAGUCGCGUUGUCCGGAACUCAGCCUUGCUUUUGCUUGGUGCACUUUCCGGAUGACGGGUCAGCAUCGAUUUUGACCGUCGGAAAAGGGCUGGAGUAAUGUGGCACCUCCGGGUGUGUUAUAGACUCUGGUCGCAUACGGCGGUUGGGAUCGAGGAACGCAGCGCGCCGCAAGGCAGGGGUUCGCCCACUUUCGCGCUUAGGAUGCUGGCAUAAUGGCUUUAAACGACCCGUCUUGAAACACGGACCAAGGAGUCUAACAUACCUGCGAGUGUUUGGGUGGAAAACCCGAGCGCGUAAUGAAAGUGAAAGUUGAGAUCCCUGUCGUGGGGAGCAUCGACGCCCGGACCAGACGUUCUCUGACGGAUCCGCGGUAGAGCAUGUAUGUUGGGACCCGAAAGAUGGUGAACUAUGCCUGAAUAGGGUGAAGCCAGAGGAAACUCUGGUGGAGGCUCGUAGCGAUUCUGACGUGCAAAUCGAUCGUCAAAUUUGGGUAUAGGGGCGAAAGACUAAUCG
This 872-nucleotide ribosomal RNA is filed under the name Ganoderma gibbosum. RNAcentral's name for it is "partial large subunit ribosomal RNA". It matches the Rfam family "Eukaryotic large subunit ribosomal RNA", at positions 78 to 937 of the family's 3401-position model. The record is from RNAcentral. Lineage: Eukaryota; Fungi; Basidiomycota; Agaricomycetes; Polyporales; Polyporaceae.